GAUGAACGCUGGCGGCGUGCCUAAUACAUGCAAGUCGAGCGAACGGACGAGAAGCUUGCUUCUCUGAUGUUAGCGGCGGACGGGUGAGUAACACGUGGAUAACCUACCUAUAAGACUGGGAUAACUUCGGGAAACCGGAGCUAAUACCGGAUAAUAUUUUGAACCGCAUGGUUCAAAAGUGAAGGACGGUCUUGCUGUCACUUAUAGAUGGAUCCGCGCUGCAUUAGCUAGUUGGUAAGGUAACGGCUUACCAAGGCAACGAUGCAUAGCCGACCUGAGAGGGUGAUCGGCCACACUGGAACUGAGACACGGUCCAGACUCCUACGGGAGGCAGCAGUAGGGAAUCUUCCGCAAUGGGCGAAAGCCUGACGGAGCAACGCCGCGUGAGUGAUGAAGGUCUUCGGAUCGUAAAACUCUGUUAUUAGGGAAGAACAUAUGUGUAAGUAACUGUGCACAUCUUGACGGUACCUAAUCAGAAAGCCACGGCUAACUACGUGCCAGCAGCCGCGGUAAUACGUAGGUGGCAAGCGUUAUCCGGAAUUAUUGGGCGUAAAGCGCGCGUAGGCGGUUUUUUAAGUCUGAUGUGAAAGCCCACGGCUCAACCGUGGAGGGUCAUUGGAAACUGGAAAACUUGAGUGCAGAAGAGGAAAGUGGAAUUCCAUGUGUAGCGGUGAAAUGCGCAGAGAUAUGGAGGAACACCAGUGGCGAAGGCGACUUUCUGGUCUGUAACUGACGCUGAUGUGCGAAAGCGUGGGGAUCAAACAGGAUUAGAUACCCUGGUAGUCCACGCCGUAAACGAUGAGUGCUAAGUGUUAGGGGGUUUCCGCCCCUUAGUGCUGCAGCUAACGCAUUAAGCACUCCGCCUGGGGAGUACGACCGCAAGGUUGAAACUCAAAGGAAUUGGCGGGGACCCGCACAAGCGGUGGAGCAUGUGGUUUAAUUCGAAGCAACGCGAAGAACCUUACCAAAUCUUGACAUCCUUUGACAACUCUAGAGAUAGAGCCUUCCCCUUCGGGGGACAAAGUGACAGGUGGUGCAUGGUUGUCGUCAGCUCGUGUCGUGAGAUGUUGGGUUAAGUCCCGCAACGAGCGCAACCCUUAAGCUUAGUUGCCAUCAUUAAGUUGGGCACUCUAAGUUGACUGCCGGUGACAAACCGGAGGAAGGUGGGGAUGACGUCAAAUCAUCAUGCCCCUUAUGAUUUGGGCUACACACGUGCUACAAUGGACAAUACAAAGGGCAGCGAAACCGCGAGGUCAAGCAAAUCCCAUAAAGUUGUUCUCAGUUCGGAUUGUAGUCUGCAACUCGACUACAUGAAGCUGGAAUCGCUAGUAAUCGUAGAUCAGCAUGCUACGGUGAAUACGUUCCCGGGUCU
Molecule: ribosomal RNA, 1372 nt
Filed under: uncultured bacterium
Lineage: Bacteria
Description: bacterial SSU rRNA
Rfam family: Bacterial small subunit ribosomal RNA
Source: RNAcentral